Long non-coding RNA from Juglans microcarpa x Juglans regia, 989 nucleotides. RefSeq lists it as uncharacterized. The record is from RefSeq and is a predicted model, not a curated record. The transcript is spliced from 3 exons. NCBI's taxonomy places the organism in Eukaryota, Viridiplantae, Streptophyta, Magnoliopsida, Fagales, Juglandaceae.
UUCCUCUCUCUCUCUCUCUCUUACUCGCUUCGAACCCCAAGGCCUUGACAGUAGACUCUCUCUCUCUCUCUCAACUGUAGAUUUCUUGUGGGUUUGGUGCUGUGAGCGUUUGUGGGAGUUCUUGGAGUUCUGAGUUGCCGAUCGGUGUUCGUGGUUUUAGGGAUUUUUCCUACGUUUUGUGUGAUUUUGGUUUGCUGCUGAGAAUCUCUCACAGCGCGUUGCCUUCAAAUAGAGGUGAGGAUCUGCAGACAAAAGUGCUUGCUCGAGCUCUAUGGUCCAAAGGUAAACUAGAUACACUAAUAUAUGACAAUUGCUUAAAUUAUUUAGAUCCCUAUAGUUGUAAAAUGAAGGUAAGGCAACAUUUGGUUGUGCUUCCUUAAAUGUUGCAUCAAAUUCUUGUGUGCUUACAUGGAUUUUUCAGUUUGUGAAUGCCUUGGGGGGUUUUUCAAUUUUUCAUAUUGUGAUGUACGACCUCGCAGUAAGUUUUGAAGAUAAGUGGACAUUGUUCGAGUGCAUUUGGUUGAACCUUAUGCUAAUACAGAGGCUCUUGAUUAAAAAUGCGUGCUUGUUGUGAACUUCAUCAUCUCCAUGGCCUGUUAGAGUUGUAAUUUGACAAUGACUAUUAGAUAGAAACAGGAAAGAAGAAAAAUGAAUAUACCUUGUUAUGUGUGAUCAAUUCUAGAAAAUCCUCAUAUUAUGUCUACAACUAUUUCUAAUUGGUGGUGGGAAAUUUAAACUUAAAAACUAUAAUCUUGCCAUGAUUAGGAAAAGAAAAUGCCCACACAAAAUAUAAUUCUUAGGCAUUGACAUAAGUAACUUUGAACCUUUCAUUAUUCACAUUGCCAUGCUAGAUUUAAACCUUUCAGUAACUUUGACUCUUCACCCAUAAAUACAGACAGAAAAUCAGUAGUUACCUGAAAGCUGAACAUGAAUUGUCUUGUGUUCUUACUUACUUACACAUUUGGGUGAGAUUGAAACUUCUCAUACAU